CCUACGGGUGGCUGCAGUGAGGAAUAUUGGUCAAUGGCCGCAGGGCUGAACCAGCCAAGUCGCGUGAGGGAUGACGGUCCUAUGGAUUGUAAACCUCUUCUGUCAGGGAGCAAAGGGUGCCACGUGCGGCGCUUUGCGAGUACCUGAAGAAAAUGCAUCGGCAAACUCGGUGCCAGCAGCCGCGGUAAUACGGGGGAUGCGCGGGUUAUCCGGAUUUAUUGGGUUGAAAGGGUGCGCGGGCGGAAUGUCAAGUCGGAGGUAAAAUUUCGGGGCUCAACCCCGUCGUGCCGUUGAAACUGGCGAUCUUGAGUGAACGAGAGGUAUGCGGAAUGCGUGGUGUAGCGGUGAAAUGCAUAGAUAUCACGCAGAACUCCGGUUGCGAAGGCAGCAUACCGGCGCUCAACUGACGCUCAUGCACGAAAGCGUGGGUAUCGAACAGGAUUAGAUACCCGAGUAGUC
This 459-nucleotide ribosomal RNA is filed under the name uncultured bacterium. Its description in RNAcentral is "partial 16S ribosomal RNA". It matches the Rfam family "Bacterial small subunit ribosomal RNA", at positions 338 to 795 of the family's 1533-position model. The record is from RNAcentral.